RNAcentral lists this ribosomal RNA (490 nucleotides) under uncultured bacterium. RNAcentral describes it as "SSU rRNA". It matches the Rfam family "Bacterial small subunit ribosomal RNA", at positions 26 to 521 of the family's 1533-position model. The record is from RNAcentral.
AGGACGAACGCUGGCGGCGUGCUUAACACAUGCAAGUCGAACGGGGUCCAACCAGUCGCAAGACUGGGGAAGACUUAGUGGCGAACGGGUGAGUAACACGUGAGCAACCUGCCCCGAAGACCGGGAUAACAGCGGGAAACCGCUGCUAAUACCGGAUGCCCCCACCGGGCCGCAUGACCUGGUGAGGAAAUGGAUUCCGCUUCGGGAGGGACUCGCGGCCUAUCAGCUUGUUGGUGGGGUAAUGGCCUACCAAGGCGUCGACGGGUAGCUGGUCUGAGAGGACGAUCAGCCACACUGGGACUGAGACACGGCCCAGACUCCUACGGGAGGCAGCAGUGGGGGAAUCUUGCGCAAUGGGCGAAAGCCUGACGCAGCAACGCCGCGUGAGGGACGACGGCCUUCGGGUGUAACCGCUUUCACUCAUGACGAAGCUUUUUGUGUACGGUAGUGGGAGAAGAAGCCCGGCUAACUUCGCGCCAGCAGCCGCGGU